This 468-nucleotide ribosomal RNA is filed under the name uncultured bacterium. Its description in RNAcentral is "partial 16S ribosomal RNA". It matches the Rfam family "Bacterial small subunit ribosomal RNA", at positions 28 to 507 of the family's 1533-position model. The record is from RNAcentral.
GACGAACGCUGGCGGCGUGCUUAACACAUGCAAGUCGAACGGAAAGGCCCUGCUUUUGUGGGGUGCUCGAGUGGCGAACGGGUGAGUAACACGUGAGUAACCUGCCCUUGACUUGGGGAUAACUUCAGGAAACUGGGGCUAAUACCGGAUAGGAGCGCCUGCUGCAUGGUGGGGGUUGGAAAGUUUCGGCGGUUGGGGAUGGACUCGCGGCUUAUCAGCUUGUUGGUGGGGUAGUGGCUUACCAAGGCUUUGACGGGUAGCCGGCCUGAGAGGGUGACCGGCCACAUUGGGACUGCGGUACGGCCCAGACUCGUACGGGAGGCAGCAGUGGGGAAUAUUGCACAAUGGGCGGAAGCCUGAUGCAGCAACGCCGCGUGCGGGAUGACGGCCUUCGGGUUGUAAACCGCUUUCGCCUGUGACGAAGCGUGAGUGACGGUAAUGGGUAAAGAAGCACCGGCUAACUACGUG